GUGUCAGCCGCCGCGGUAAUACGGAGGAUCCAAGCGUUAUCCGGAAUCAUUGGGUUUAAAGGGUCCGUAGGCGGGAUGAUAAGUCAGUGGUGAAAGUCUGCAGCUCAACUGUAGAAUUGCCAUUGAUACUGUUGUUCUUGAGUUAUUGUGAAGUGGUUAGAAUGAGUAGUGUAGCGGUGAAAUGCAUAGAUAUUACUCAGAAUACCGAUUGCGAAGGCAGAUCACUAACAAUGAACUGACGCUGAUGGACGAAAGCGUAGGUAGCGAACAGGAUUAGAUACCCUGGUAGUCUACGCCGUAAACGAUGGUUACUAGCUGUUCGGACAAAUUGAUGUCUGAGUGGCUAAGCGAAAGUGAUAAGUAACCCACCUGGGGAGUACGUUCGCAAGAAUGAA
Molecule: ribosomal RNA, 395 nt
Filed under: uncultured bacterium
Lineage: Bacteria
Description: bacterial SSU rRNA
Rfam family: Bacterial small subunit ribosomal RNA
Source: RNAcentral